This 253-nucleotide ribosomal RNA is filed under the name uncultured bacterium. RNAcentral describes it as "partial 16S ribosomal RNA". It matches the Rfam family "Bacterial small subunit ribosomal RNA", at positions 524 to 776 of the family's 1533-position model. The record is from RNAcentral.
UACGAAGGGAGCUAGCGUUGUUCGGAAUCACUGGGCGUAAAGCGCACGUAGGCGGAUGUGUCAGUCAGGGGUGAAAUCCCGGAGCUCAACUUCGGAACUGCCUUUGAUACAGCACAUCUGGAGUCCGGAAGAGGUGGGUGGAAUUCCUAGUGUAGAGGUGAAAUUCGUAGAUAUCCGGAGGAACACCGGUGGCGAAGGCGGCUUCCUGGACCGACACUGACGCUGAGGCGCGAAAGCUAGGGGAGCAAACGGG